This 484-nucleotide ribosomal RNA is filed under the name uncultured bacterium. RNAcentral's name for it is "partial 16S ribosomal RNA". It matches the Rfam family "Bacterial small subunit ribosomal RNA", at positions 28 to 523 of the family's 1533-position model. The record is from RNAcentral.
GAUGAACGCUGGCGGCGUGCUUAACACAUGCAAGUCGAACGGUGAAGCAGGAGCUUGCUCUUGUGGAUCAGUGGCGAACGGGUGAGUAACACGUGAGCAACCUGCCCCUGACUCUGGGAUAAGCGCUGGAAACGGCGUCUAAUACUGGAUAUGUGAUGUGACCGCAUGGUCUGCAUCUGGAAAGAAUUUCGGUUGGGGAUGGGCUCGCGGCCUAUCAGCUGGUUGGUGAGGUAAUGGCUCACCAAGGCGUCGACGGGUAGCCGGCCUGAGAGGGUGACCGGCCACACUGGGACUGAGACACGGCCCAGACUCCUACGGGAGGCAGCAGUGGGGAAUAUCGCACAAUGGGCGGAAGCCUGAUGCGGCAACGCCGCGUGAGGGAUGACGGCCUUCGGGUUGUAAACCUCUUUUAGCAGGGAAGAAGCGAAAGUGACGGUACCUGCAGAAAAAGCACCGGCUAACUACGUGCCAGCCGCCGCGGUAA